This 301-nucleotide ribosomal RNA is filed under the name uncultured bacterium. Its description in RNAcentral is "partial 16S ribosomal RNA". It matches the Rfam family "Bacterial small subunit ribosomal RNA", at positions 509 to 807 of the family's 1533-position model. The record is from RNAcentral.
CAGUCGCCGCGGGAAUACGGAGGGUGCAAGCGUUAAUCGGAAUUACUGGGCGUAAAGCGUGCGCAGGCGGUUAUAUAAGACAGAUGUGAAAUCCCCGGGCUCAACCUGGGAACUGCAUUUGUGACUGUAUAGCUAGAGUACGGCAGAGGGGGAUGGAAUUCCGCGUGUAGCAGUGAAAUGCGUAGAUAUGCGGAGGAACACCGAUGGCGAAGGCAAUCCCCUGGGCCUGUACUGACGCUCAUGCACGAAAGCGUGGGGAGCAAACAGGAUUAGAUACCCCUGUAGUCCCUGUCUCUUAUAC